AUGGACGGACUUACAUGCUCGACGCCUAUGGAAAUUUGGCCGUUCCUGCUGAUACCCAUGUAAGAGACGUGCUCGUUGUAUGAAGAGGUCAUGCAGUUGACACGUUACCUCCCUUUUGGGAAUUUCUUUUUGAGGUGACGUCAUCGAUCACAUGCGUGAUCAUUACUUCUGCUCCCGAGGUGGUUCAGGAGAGGUCAUCUCGUUGACAUGUUACCUCCCUUUUGGGAAUUUCUUUUUGAGGUGAGGUCAUCGAUCACAUGCGUGAUCAUUACUUCUCCUCCCGAGGUGGUUCAGGUUAAGACGUGACGUUUGGGUUUCCUGCGCCGAUUUUUU
Molecule: long non-coding RNA, 333 nt
Filed under: Nicotiana benthamiana
Lineage: Eukaryota; Viridiplantae; Streptophyta; Magnoliopsida; Solanales; Solanaceae
Description: long non-coding RNA (NBEN_LNC009649)
Source: RNAcentral